UACGGAGGGUGCUAACGUUGUCCGGAAUUAUUGGGCGUAAAGAGCAUGUAGGUGGACCAGCCAGUGGGUAAUUAAAUAUCGACGCUUAACGUCGGGAAUGUGACCCAUACUACUGGUCUUGAGGAUAGCAGGGGUAAGCGGAACUUUAGGUGUAGGAGUGAAAUCCGUAGAUAUCUAAAGGAACACCAAUGGCGAAGGCAGCUUACUGGGCUAUUUCUGACACUGAGAUGCGAAAGCGUGGGGAGCGAACGGG
Molecule: ribosomal RNA, 253 nt
Filed under: uncultured bacterium
Lineage: Bacteria
Description: partial 16S ribosomal RNA
Rfam family: Bacterial small subunit ribosomal RNA
Source: RNAcentral